GUCUACGGCCAUACAACGUUGAAAGCACCAGUUCUCGUCCGAUCACUGAAGUUAAGCAACGUCGGGCUCGGUUAGUACUUGGAUGGGUGACCGCCUGGGAACACCGAGUGCUGUAGACU
Molecule: ribosomal RNA, 119 nt
Organism: Lottia gigantea (owl limpet)
Lineage: Eukaryota; Metazoa; Mollusca; Gastropoda; Lottiidae
Source: Rfam